This 317-nucleotide long non-coding RNA is filed under the name Homo sapiens (human). RNAcentral describes it as "long non-coding RNA NONHSAT106537.2". Lineage: Eukaryota; Metazoa; Chordata; Mammalia; Primates; Hominidae. The record is from RNAcentral.
CCAAGGACAUGGUGAAGCCGCCCUAUAGCUACAUCGCGCUCAUCACCAUGGCCAUCCAGAACGCCCCGGACAAGAAGAUCACCCUGAACGGCAUCUACCAGUUCAUCAUGGACCGCUUCCCCUUCUACCGGGACAACAAGCAGGGCUGGCAGAACAGCAUCCGCCACAACCUCUCGCUCAACGAGUGCUUCGUCAAGGUGCCGCGCGACGACAAGAAGCCGGGCAAGGGCAGCUACUGGACGCUGGACCCGGACUCCUACAACAUGUUCGAGAACGGCAGCUUCCUGCGGCGGCGGCGGCGCUUCAAGAAGAAGGAC